This 322-nucleotide unclassified non-coding RNA is filed under the name uncultured fungus. Its description in RNAcentral is "partial contains small subunit ribosomal RNA, internal transcribed spacer 1, and 5.8S ribosomal RNA". The stretch from base 1 to 73 matches the Rfam family "Eukaryotic small subunit ribosomal RNA", at positions 1759 to 1831 of the family's 1831-position model. The record is from RNAcentral. Lineage: Eukaryota; Fungi.
GCAAACUUGGUCAUUUAGAGGAAGUAAAAGUCGUAACAAGGUUUUCGUAGGUGAACCUGCGGAAGGAUCAUUACUGAAGUCCAAGGGGGAGUGCUGGCCCUUCGGGCAUGUGCACCCUCCUGCCCUUCAUCCACACACACCUGUGCACCCUUCGAGGCGAGGACUCCCAUGCCUGGAGCCGGACUUUUGGUCCCGAGGACUCGCCUACAUUUUUCACAAACUCUUUUGUACGACCUGGAACGUAGCUGCGGCGUUGCCGCGAAACGUAUACACAACUUUCAACAACGGAUCUCUUGGUUCUCGCAUCGAUGAAGAACGCAGC